UACGAGAGGUGCAAGCGUUAUUCGGAAUCAUUGGGCGUAAAGGGCGCGUAGACGGCGCAUUAAGUCUGCUGUUAAAUCCUUCGGCUUAACUGAAGAUCUGCAGCGGAAACUGGUGUGCUAGAGGAUGGAAGAGAGAAGUGGAAUUCUUGGAGUAGCGGUAAAAUGCGUAGAUCUCAAGAGGAACACCGAUGGCGAAGGCAGCUUCUUGGUCCAUUUCUGACGUUGAGGCGCGAAAGCGUGGGGAGCAAACAGG
This 253-nucleotide ribosomal RNA is filed under the name uncultured bacterium. RNAcentral's name for it is "partial 16S ribosomal RNA". It matches the Rfam family "Bacterial small subunit ribosomal RNA", at positions 524 to 776 of the family's 1533-position model. The record is from RNAcentral.